AAUGACAUUUACUGCUCAUAAGUCUUGACCAAAUCACGUGCCAGCAGUCGCGGCAAAACGUGGGAGACUAGUGUUAUUCAUCUUAAAUAGGUUUAAAGGGUACCUAGACGGAAUAUCAAGCCCCAAAAGGGAACGGAGAUUCUAGAGUUUUAUGAGAGAGGGGAAGUACUGACGGAGUAGAGAUGAAAUUUGUUGAUACCGAUAUAAGACACAGGUAUAGGCGAAGGCAACCCUUUAUGUAAAAACUGACGUUGAAGGACGAAGGCUUAGGUAACCAACAGGAUUAGAUACCCUAGCAGUCUUGGCAGACAAUGAUGAAUGUCAUAGAUUAGAUUUUUUUUUGAUCUAUAAAUGAAAGUGUAAGCAUUCCACCUCAAGAGUAAUUUGGCAACAUUGAAACUGAAAUCAUUAGACCGUUUCUGAAACCAGUAGUGAAGUAUGUUGUUUAAACUGACGUUACGCGAAAAACCUUGCCACAACUUGAAUGUUUACAAUUACACAAGCGUUGCAUGGCUGUCUACAGUUAAUGUCGUGAGAUUAUGGUUAGUUCCAUUAAUUAACGUA
RNAcentral lists this ribosomal RNA (564 nucleotides) under Fuscidea lightfootii. RNAcentral's name for it is "SSU rRNA". It matches the Rfam family "Bacterial small subunit ribosomal RNA", at positions 468 to 1100 of the family's 1533-position model. The record is from RNAcentral. Lineage: Eukaryota; Fungi; Ascomycota; Lecanoromycetes; Umbilicariales; Fuscideaceae.